UAAAACUCAGUCAGUUGUUGUCAACAGCGAGUGUUGAAAUGGCGCAGAAGGGAGUUCUUCUGGACCGUGAGUCUUUCUCUUGUUCCAUCUGUUUGGAUCUUCUGAAGGAUCCGGUGACUGUUAACUGUGGACACAGCUUCUGCAUGAGCUGUAUUCAAUCCUACUGGGAUACUGAGGAUGAGAAGAAGAUCUACAGCUGUCCUCAGUGCAGACGGACCUUCAGACCGAGGCCUGUCCUGAUGAAAAACACCAUGUUAGCAGGUUUAGUGGAGGAAGUGAAGAAGAGUGGACUCCAAGCUGCUCCUGAUGAUCCCUCUGAGGCUGGACCUGAAGAUGUGGCCUGUGAUUCCUGCAGUGGGAGAAAACUGAAGGCUGUCAAGUCCUGUCUUCAAUGUCUGGUUUCUUACUGCCAGAUUCACCUCCAGCCUCAUUUUGAAUCACCUUCAUAUAAGAAACACAAGCUGGUGGAGCCCUCCAAGAACCUCCAGGAGAACAUCUGCUCUCGUCAUGAUGAGGUGAUGAAGAUCUUCUGCCGCACUGAUAAGAAGUCUAUCUGUCAUCUCUGCUGUUUGGACCAACACAAAGGUCACAACACAGUCUCAGCUGCGGCAGAAAGGACUGAGAGGCAGAAAGAUCUGGAGGAGAGUCGAGAAAACAUCCAGCAGAGAAUCCAGGACAGAGAAGAAGAUGUGAAGCUGCUCCAACAGGAGGUGGAGGCUAUCAACGGCUCUGCUGAUAAAGCUGUGGAGCACAGCCAGGAGAUCUUCAGCCAGCUGAUCCGUCUGAUGGAGAAACGCCGCUCUGACGUGGAGCAGCAGGUCAGAUCCCAGCAGGAACGUGAAGUGAGUCGAGUCAAAGAACUUCAGGAGAAACUGGAGCAGGAGAUCACUGAGCUGAAGAGGAAAGAUGCUGAUCUGCAGAAGCUCUCACUCACAGAGGACCACAACCAGUUUCUGCACAGCUACCCCUCACUGUCAGAACCGGGUCAACCUGCAGA
RNAcentral lists this long non-coding RNA (997 nucleotides) under Xyrichtys novacula (pearly razorfish). Lineage: Eukaryota; Metazoa; Chordata; Actinopteri; Labriformes; Labridae. The record is from RNAcentral.